GUCCCCGUAGCUCAGUCGGACUAGAGCAACAGCCUUCUAAGCUGUGGGUCGCAGGUUCGAAUCCUGCCGGGGACGCCA
RNAcentral lists this transfer RNA (78 nucleotides) under Acidobacteriota bacterium. Its description in RNAcentral is "Acidobacteria bacterium tRNA-Arg". It matches the Rfam family "tRNA". From Rfam's summary of the family: Transfer RNA (tRNA) molecules are approximately 80 nucleotides in length. Their secondary structure includes four short double-helical elements and three loops (D, anti-codon, and T loops). The record is from RNAcentral. Lineage: Bacteria; Pseudomonadati; Acidobacteriota. RNAcentral also lists the same sequence under 1 other name.